Molecule: ribosomal RNA, 34 nt
Filed under: Macropsychanthus purpureus
Lineage: Eukaryota; Viridiplantae; Streptophyta; Magnoliopsida; Fabales; Fabaceae
Also listed under: 2 other names
Description: Luzonia purpurea partial 26S large subunit ribosomal RNA
Source: RNAcentral
CGAGACCUCAGGUCAGGCGGGGUUACCCGCUGAG